Molecule: ribosomal RNA, 497 nt
Filed under: uncultured bacterium
Lineage: Bacteria
Description: partial 16S ribosomal RNA
Rfam family: Bacterial small subunit ribosomal RNA
Source: RNAcentral
GAUGAACGCUGGCGGCGUGCCUAAUACAUGCCAGUCGAGCGAACGGACGAGAAGCUUGCUUCUCUGAUGUUAGCGGCGGACGGGUGAGUAACACGUGGAUAACCUACCUAUAGGACUGGGAUAACUUCGGGAAACCGGAGCUAAUACCGGAUAAUAUUUUGAACCGCAUGGUUCAAAAGUGAAAGACGGUCUUGCUGUCACUUAUAGAUGGAUCCGCGCUGCAUUAGCUAGUUGGUAAGGUAACGGCUUACCAAGGCAACGAUGCAUAGCCGACCUGAGAGGGGGAUCGGCCACACUAGAACUGAGACACGGUCCAGACUCCUACGGGAGGCAGCAGUAGGGAAUCUUCCGAAAUGGGCGAAAGCCUGACGGAGCAACGCCGCGUGAGUGAUGAAGGUCUUCGGAUCGUAAAACUCUGUUAUUAGGGAAGAACAUAUGUGUAAGUAACUGUGCACAUCUUGACGGUACCUAAUCAGAAAGCCACGGCUAACUACGUG